RNAcentral lists this ribosomal RNA (472 nucleotides) under uncultured bacterium. RNAcentral's name for it is "bacterial SSU rRNA". It matches the Rfam family "Bacterial small subunit ribosomal RNA", at positions 40 to 507 of the family's 1533-position model. The record is from RNAcentral.
CGGCAGGCUUGACACAUGCAAGUCGAGCGGUAGCAGAUCUAGCUUGCUAGAUGCUGACGAGCGGCGGACGGGUGAGUAACGCGUAGGAACCUGCCCAGUAGUGGGGGAUAGCCCGGGGAAACUCGGAUUAAUACCGCAUACGCUCUACGGAGGAAAGAGGGGGCUUCGGCUCUCGCUAUUGGAUGGGCCUGCGUGAGAUUAGCUAGUUGGUGAGGUAAUGGCUCACCAAGGCGACGAUCUCUAGCUGGUCUGAGAGGAUGAUCAGCCACACUGGGACUGAGACACGGCCCAGACUCCUACGGGAGGCAGCAGUGGGGAAUAUUGCACAAUGGGCGCAAGCCUGAUGCAGCCAUGCCGCGUGUGUGAAGAAGGCUUUCGGGUUGUAAAGCACUUUCAGUGGGGAGGAAGGCCUCGUAGUUAAUAGCUGCGAGGAUUGACGUUACCCACAGAAGAAGCACCGGCUAACUCCGUG